CAAUUGGCAAUAGGACAUGAUGGGACGAGAUGAGCCAAUAUUUGCCAAUCUUGCUACUGUAUUUUGUAAAAUUAUAGUUUGGCCUCAAAACUUUAUAAAAUUACACUAUGACCCAAAACUUUAUAAAACUUGUCAAAUAAGUUAAUUUCCAAAAUUUUAAGCAAUAUUUGCUAAUUUGAAAAUUCUCAAAACUUUUUAAUUUAACACAUUAACAUAAAAUCACUUUUCAUUGGAUAUAAAACCUUUAUAAUAUGAAAAUAUAUGAAAAAUAAUUUGAGCCUUUAAAAUAAUUUUAAUCAAGUUUGUUAUCAUCAAAAUCAAUAUUAAAGAAAUAUUUAUGUUAACAUAAACAUGUUCAAUGCUAAUAAAACAUUCAACCACAUACCCAUUCUUAUCCACACUAUGUAAUACAAUGGCCAUUUGCUCUUUUGUAGACAUAUCAUAAGACUCAUUAGCUCAAACAUAAAAUAAUGGCACCAUCCAUCUUUCUAAUAAUAACAUUAGUAGUUUCAAUUAAAGCACAUCUUACAAUGUCUUUUUGAAUCUUUGGGCAUGUUGUUUGCAGAUUUAGAGUACUAUUUCUAAGCAACAACAAUUAGUAUCUUCAUUAUAAUCAGCACGGAAGCAUAAAACCUCAAGAAAAUUCCCUUGAUUGCUUGAACCAUCAGACUCAUCCCCACGAAAUGCUAGCCGUCGAUUUGAAAGAAGUCGAAUAAAAUCGAAAAACAACAUUCAAGCAAGUUUCAUGUUCACUUUGAGUUUUCUCAAAUUGUCUUUAAAAAAAAAUAUUGUCAUAUGUUGUUUGUGAUUCAUCAACCUUUCACAUUUCUACCUACCUCGAUUAUGAGCAUUGUUGACACCUCCUUCAUUAAUCUUUAAUUUUUCUUUAUGUUUCCAAUUUUUAGUCAUUUCCCAGUAAAAGUGUCACUACAUUCUUGAUCACUAUUGUUUUCUUUGAAAAGAUAACAAAAAAGGCAAUAUGUAGACUCAUCUUCUAUACUAUAUUCCAACCAAGUGCCAAAUUCUUUGAACCAAUUCGAAACACAUUGUCAUUAUUGAUUACUAAACUUCUCAAACUUAAAAUUGUGCCCCUUAGGUUGAAAAGGACCCAUUUGCAAAGUAUGUUAUUCGAAUUUGAUCUUGAAUAUUGCAAUUAUGGCAUAAGCCAUGGUUGGCAAGCAAGCAAAUUUCAUAAAUUGACUUUAUAUGAACCAUCACUAGCUCUUUUUAGAGGAAGUAGGAGUGGUGGUUUCUGUUUAAAAAAUUUCUCCAUGGCCAUUUCAAAUCAAAUAAAUUUAUUAUUAGCUUAAACUCCACAAUAAUGGCUAAAUCCUAACAAAAUAAUUGCAACAAGAAUGAUUAAUAUAAUACAAAAUCGAUAUUUAAAAGUAUUAUUUUACAAUACAUUUAAUAAGGCUCACAAAAAUGCUAGAAUAUUAACAACAUAUUUAUAAAAUUUUAUCUUUCCAAUUGCCCAUUUGUUUGCCAAAAAAGAGAAAAAAGAAAAAUGCUACUUUUAUAUAAUAAGCCAUUUUCACUUUUUACACAGCACCCACUGUCCCACUCUCUUUUCAAUUGAAUUUUAAUGUCAAAGUAUUGCUCACUCAUAACAGUGAACAUUUACUUUUGGAGUUUGUAUAUAAGUAUCAAAAUACGAAUUGAUGAAUAGAAAUGCAAAAUACUAACUCUUCAUACGGCCAAAAAUCAUCAAUUCAUAAUUGGCACAAUACAUGUUUUAAAUCUAUGGCUGGUCUAAUGGCAGCUGCAGUAAGGGAUGACAGGCUCAAUGGUGGUAAUAGCGAACGACAACGGGCUGGCGACAGUAAGAAUGGAUGACGUCGGCAAAUUAAUGGCAAUGGUGUUGGUGGCCAAGUCUAAGUUGUGAUUUAGGGAUUUACUGUUUACGAUUUUAAGAUUUACUUCUUCUUUUUUUUAUAUAUUCCUUUAAUUUUUUAUUGUUAAUAUAAAAAUGGUGAAUUUGUAAUUUAAUUUUAAAUUAUGAUUUAAUUAAAUUUUAAAAUUAGGUGUAUAAUUAAAAGUUUUAACCAUUUAAAUAGGUUUAAUUUGAAGUCCAUAACACUUAAUAUAUUAGUAUUGGAUCUAAUAAUUAAAAGCGACUAAAAUGACUUAGUUUAAGAAAUUUUAAGGCCCAUAAAGGGCUGAAACCCUUUCGGAGCCUUGAUUGUGUUCGCUCAUGGUGAUGGAGAUGUCAUCUAUCAAACGGGUACGGCACUGACAUUCGUGCACAAUAUCCAACCUAUUGUCGUCCCUGCGAAUGAUUGCCAAGGCAAGGAAAUAUCCUAGGCGUGAUUCAAGAUUCAGCAAGACUUAAAAUCAAUCAUGUUCAAAUAUUAUAUAACAAUGAAGUUCACAAAUUAGCCACAUUUUCAUUUAGCAAUUCGAGCUAUGUCUUUUGGCCGAAGAAGUUCUAGCUUUUAUUUGUGCUUUGCUUUGUUAAUCAAUUAAGUUUCAUUUAAAAUGGGUAAAAUGAAAACCGUGAAUGUUUUGCUUAAAUAACUUUUAUUUAUCUAUUAGUGAGCAGAUCGUUGUACUCAGAUCACCAAAUUAAAUUUCUUAUUAAGUGGAGAUAAGAAUCUCACUUUAAAGUUGCCUUCAUCUAGAGGAUCGAUUGCAUCGCAACUAAUUUUUUGAUAAAUUCAAGUCCAAAUGAAUGCGACAUUUAUCAGUUCAACUUUCAAGUCAAUAAUUAGCGGUUACGUAUAUGAACUAUAUGAACGUUCAGCUAAAAUUGUCCGUGGCUGUUGUGUUCGUUUUGAUUUUUUACACCAUCUCUGUCUGAUAACGAAAUACUGAUGCCUUGGCUACCGUCACGUCAAUUAUUGCCUUAGUUGUUUCCACCAAAGCUUGCGUCGUACAGUGAGAUUUUAUUAACUCUGGAAAAAAUUGUACAGCUUACCACAAAUUAAAGGACUCUUUUGGUCCCAAAACUGAUAGUGGAAUUUGACAAUUCCUAUUUUACAUGCAUGUAAUAUAUAUUUUCUUCACAUGAAUAAUGUGUGGAUCCCACACAUGUAUUGUUCAUGUGAGAGAAAUAUAUUUUACAUGCAUGUAAGAUAGAAGAAUCCGUGGAAUUUUAUCCAUUCCCACAUUUAACGAAUUUAAUUUCUUCACCACCUCUUUAAUUUUUUUCUCAAUUUCACAUCUAUCAUGAAAAAAAAGGCCUUUUGGUGAUGCUGCUGAUACAUUACUCCUUAACUAAAAAAUUAAAGUUAUGCUAAUAUGACUUUAUGCUAAUAUGAUUAAGGCCGUCGUAAAAAUAAAAUUCAUCUUAAAAACAACUACUGCACAUGAUUCAACUUUCCUAUUGUUUUUCAUGCAUAAAAUUAAUUUUUGAAAAUCCAUUCAUAGUAGUUGGCGCCGACAGUUGCCUGCCUACCUACCUACCGCCCAUUAGAUUUUUCCAUUUUUUACCAUAUA
This 3438-nucleotide long non-coding RNA is filed under the name Citrus x clementina. RNAcentral describes it as "Citrus clementina (C. clementina) long non-coding RNA (CCLE_LNC003000)". Lineage: Eukaryota; Viridiplantae; Streptophyta; Magnoliopsida; Sapindales; Rutaceae. The record is from RNAcentral.